RNAcentral lists this ribosomal RNA (492 nucleotides) under uncultured bacterium. RNAcentral's name for it is "partial 16S ribosomal RNA". It matches the Rfam family "Bacterial small subunit ribosomal RNA", at positions 29 to 507 of the family's 1533-position model. The record is from RNAcentral.
AGUGAACGCUGGCGGUAGGCCUAACACAUGCAAGUCGAACGGCAGCACAGUAAGCGCUUGCUCUUACGGGUGGCGAGUGGCGGACGGGUGAGGCAUACAUCGGAAUCUACUUUUUCGUGGGGGAUAACGUAGGGAAACUUACGCUAAUACCGCAUACGACCUACGGGUGAAAGCAGGGGAUCUUCGGACCUUGCGCGAUUGAAUGAGCCGAUGCCGGAUUAGCUAGUUGGCGGGGUAAAGGCCCACCAAGGCGACGAUCCGUAGCUGGUCUGAGAGGAUGAUCAGCCACACUGGAACUGAGACACGGUCCAGACUCCUACGGGAGGCAGCAGUGGGGAAUAUUGGACAAAGGGCGCAAGCCUGAUCCAGCCAUACCGCGUGGGUGAAGAAGGCCUUCGGGUUGUAAAGCCCUUUUGUUGGGAAAGAAAAGCAGCAGGUGAAUACCCCGCUGUUCUGACGGUACCCAAAGAAUAAGCACCGGCUAACUUCGUG